GUGCCCUCGUUGUUGUUUCCACUCCGGUACGCUCGCACGCACCCAGGCUGGCACUCGUAUCGCACGUCUCGACAGGGUACCCACCACAGUCGCUUCUGCGGCCCCACCCUACCGUUCUCGCGUGGCCGUGAACGCCUUCGCUUUCACUCAACCCCCACCCCCACAACCGUCGUUUCAGUGCAACCAUGACAACUUCCUCCGCCGAGGAGGUCCGGGUGCGGCAGUCCAUUGUGAACUGUGCAGUCGAUCACUACGAGCUGUUGACCAACGCGCAGGCCGCAAACGUGGCGGCCGCGUCGCUCUCCAGCAAUGCCGAAGACACCGCUAAAGAGCUGACAGCAUCCUUGCAAACACUGCACUCCUGGUCGCAGCUUCUCCAGUAUGCGGGGCAGUCGUGGCGGCAAGAGAAAGCGCAGCUGCACAGCGCGGUCAUGAGUCACCAGAAAAUCGUGGCUCUCAUGGAGUCGCCUGCCUUAGUGGAGGAGUGCGUGCGGCAGACAAUGUUCCACGAGGCGCUCCUCAUAUUCGACCACGUCAUGAUGCUGUGUCAGCACAUGAGCGACGUGUACGUUUUUCAGAGAUUGCAGAAGGAAGUGGUGGACACAAUGGAGCAGGCGGUGAACGCGCAUGUGCUGCCGAUGCUGUCGGGUGGGCUCACGGUGGACACGGCGUACAAAGCCAUCUCCCUCCUUCGUCGCCUUGGCGGCUCCCCGGCGUCGUUGCGUGCACUCUUCCUGCGCAGCCGCGCUGCGUACAUUCGUCAGCUGCUGCAGGAAGCUGAAUCCAGCGUGGUGCCCUACUCUCUCAUCCUCAAGUACAUCACGGUGUACAAGGUGCACGUGAACGAGGUGACGCUGCAGUACAAGGCGUGCUUCCCGUCCAGCACCGAGGCCCAGCAACGGCAAGCGACGGAGGAGCUGAGCCUGUGGUGUCAGGAGCAGGCGCACAUGUUCAUGCACCUCAUGGCGGCGGCGCUCCAGCACCUUCACAACGGCUCUGAACUGGCGCUCGUGGUGCAGCAGUGCAGCAGCUGCUCGAGUGCCAGUGCGCGGGUGCACACAGACGUGCUUGGGCUCCUGGGCAGCAUACUUGUCCAGAAGGUGCAGGGACUCUUCGCUGAAGGCAUGCGGCAGGCCCGGAUCACCUAUCGCACCGCCAUGCAGACCUCCUCGUGGCGUGUUUCUGUGUACUGUCACAACAACUCGACGCUGACGUCGUCUACGGGGAUCCAGGCCCCUCCGACUAUUAGCGACACGCCAGCCGUGCAGCUAGCUCAGUGGCUGCCGCUCGCGUACGCGCUCAACGGGAUGCUCGCCUCCUUCAACGCCAUCCGCAAGUGUCUGUUACCAGGGGUUGAGGCACCGUGUGGGGAGGAAGUGCGACAGCUGGUGUGCGAGGUGGGACAGGACAUGCUGAAUGACGCGCCUCUGCUCGACACAAUGUACAGCGCUGAACGGGCAGUGUUUGUGACCUUUGUGAAGGCGUUUCAACGGCUGUGGUAUCCAUAUGUACUGCACCUGGUCGGCCGCCUUCUCGGACCUGCGCACCGCGAGGACUUGGAGGACCGCACGCAGGCUCUAAUGUAUGGCAUUGGAGAGCUUCUGUUUGCGGUAGAGUCGCCGUCGACGGUGCCGGCUGCAGAAGGUGCGAGCUCCGUGGCGCCGGCACACCCACAUGCAUCGACGAUACUUGCUACACCGACACCAGACUUCACCACCGCUCCAACUGCGGCGCCUUCGGUGCCGCCAGCGUCAACGAACUCUGCACCGACCUAGUGAAACAACGCCGCACUUGUGGUGCACCUCUUCGACUUCAACCAGCAUAGGGAGAUGAUCCGGCGGCUACAUCGGGAGCCGCUUGUGGGCACUGUGAAGGGCGGGAGCGAGAGGGGCGUGGGUGCGCCAGGGAAUCCGUAAGAGAAGAAUUGCGGUGGUGGCGUGGGAGCCUGCAGGGUAGGUGCGUGCUACGAAAGCAACAGCAAUGAUAGCGCCAGUGGUGGCGGUCGCUUAAUCUUCUCUUGCCACGUCGGUGCUGGGCUGCUCGGCCGCAGGCCCCUUCCGCUUGACCCUCCCGCCACACAGGCUUAUAGCGGCGUCCAACCUGUCGAGAGAUGUGCGGACACAACAUCCAGACAGCCCCCCCCCCCUUUGUGACAUGGACGGAAAUGGAGGAUGAAGACAGAAGCCCCCCUUUCCUCAGACUCCGAAGUCGUUCUGAAGCAGGCCCCGGGAUGCAAAAAUGCAAGCACUGUGCGCAGGCGCUGUGAAGCACAACUGGCGUGGUGAAUCGCAUCCAAGCAAGGCACUCAGAGGUCCAAAGAGCAGGAGUGGUGGACGAACAAGGCGCGAGGAGACCCAAUAUACGGAUCAGCCCCCAAGCGCAUGUGUGCGGAGCGUGCUGCAUCUGCUGCAUUCAACCUGGAGGGCUCAUGAGGCACAGACGCCGGAAGCAUGACGAGAGUGCCCUCGAGUUCCACCAUCAAGCCCUCCCGACUCUCCUGUUGCGAGUCACCACACCGUAUUAACGGGAUGCGGCGGCUUUAGGCGACUGAGAGAGCGAAGCACGGCACACGGGCAGGGUGCGCAGGGUCUCCGAGGGAUAUGGCCUGCAGCUGGCCAACUUCCUCCCUGCGCGCAUCCGGCAUGCACCGAGAGACCACCACCCCACUGCUACUCCGCACGACAGACGCCACUGCUUCCGCCCUUGAACAGGACCCUGCACGCGGCCCGAUUCGAAUGAAGGCAUGCCGUACACCGGAGCCUCCGUGUGGCGCCGAUCGCGCAGCACACGUGCGAUGAAUGGACAAGGACGGACACGAUGAGUCCGGCCGACGCAUGGCGCUGAUUCUACAGCAAGACGGUGCAUCCUAGGCGACCACGAUUUAGCCGCGGUGCAGCAGAAGCUGGUGGUGUGUGGUGGUGUGCGCGCAUGUGUGUAUGUCGGUUGACUGACCUGCUGGUGGUCGGAUGGGCACAUCGGAGAAGAAAAAAAUGAGGGUGCCCACGGGAGGCAUGCGUCCCGCUGGCGUUAUCGAGUGGGAAGGACGCGGUGUGUGUCUGUGCGCGCGCGCUCGUGUUUUUGCUUCUCUUGCGCGUCUCUCUGUGUGUGUUGCUUCGCUGAGGCGCGGCACUGGACCCGCUCGAGUACAGCGAGAAGGGGAGCAAAGCGAGCGUCGUAUCUGCGGCAGACGAUG
This 3193-nucleotide unclassified non-coding RNA is filed under the name Leishmania donovani. RNAcentral's name for it is "gene:LdHU3.28.4140(CDS-product:oligomeric_golgi_c omplex_component_8_putative)". The record is from RNAcentral. Lineage: Eukaryota; Euglenozoa; Kinetoplastea; Trypanosomatida; Trypanosomatidae.